Molecule: non-coding RNA, 1545 nt
Organism: Lolium perenne
Lineage: Eukaryota; Viridiplantae; Streptophyta; Magnoliopsida; Poales; Poaceae
Source: RefSeq, a predicted model, not a curated record
GCCGAUCAUUUCAGUACAGACUACAGAGGGACGACGGCUUGAGAUAUAGUCUCAGCACCAUCAUUGGCUGCAAGAAUUUGCUCCCUGGAAGCGGAAAUGUCAACACGGUAGCCUCAUAUUUUCCCCUCACGCGACGAAUUGAUAAAAGGACAAUAUUUUGGUUGUCCAUGCAAUCCUACAAUUGAAUGCAGUAUUUUGCUCAUCUAUGAGAAGCAACCAAAGAUCAUGCAUGUAGGUCCUCUCUCUCCCACUCUCUCCUCCUCUCUCUGCUUCUCUCUCUAAUCCAUGUACAAAUAUUUCAAGGCGUAUAGUUGCUAAUAUUUUUAUGAGCAUCUUUUAGGUUGUGUAUGCAAAUAGUAAGGUCAUGGGAAAUCUGCCAUAUGCUAUUUUCCCUCUGCGUGUUGCCUUACUUGAUUUUAGUGUUGUUUAUUCCUUUCGCCGAGGGUGCACUUUGUUUAUGGAAUAAAGCACGCGGUGAUUCAGGCAAAUUGCUUGAGGCCUUUAGGGUCUGGAGGAAUUAGAAGAAAUAAUUAACCAGUGGCUAAAUUAUCUCCCCUACCUCCAGAAAUUUAUAGGUUCCUAAGAAGCAUAUGCAUCGUGUGUUAUGAAAGUUAUUAGGUGUACAUUUGUGUUGUCUGGUCAUUUGCACUGUAUACAUUAUGCCUUUUGCAUGCUAUCCAAAAAAAUGUAUGAAGUUUUAGUCAUAUAGGUAAACUAUUUCUCUUCUUUUAAUAUACUGAAGAUAUAGUAAUGGUCUUAAAUUUAAUUGUUUUACUUGAAUCCUCGUGUGGUUCAGAUCUGGCAUCUUCCCUUUCUGAUAACAUUCCAUUUUUUUUCCAAAUGUAGUAUCUCAAACUAAGAUUACAAAGCUUCACUUUGUUUGAUGGUGUAUAGGUUCUUCAAGUCGGUGAAGAUCCUAUCAUCAUUAUAUUAGGCUUCUAACUGUUUACAAAGCUUCCAACUGUUUAAGUUCAUUGCGUGCAGCAGCUGCAGAGCUCCGAUGUCUCCAUCCCCGCCUGCACGGUGCCGCCUCUAUCCUCUGCCCCUCUUCUUGGUGCAUAGUGGCCAGCUGGUCGGACGCUUUUGAUUGCUGGCCUCCGAUUUGAGGUAAAAAUGUUUUGAGGUGUAGAUUGCAAAUGGAAGAACCACGGCGCACAUAAAAACUAAGGGCACUAUCAUGUUUUAAGUGGCUUGGGAAGGGAGUGAGACCGUGACUUGAUAGGUAAAAGGCCAGAGAAACAGCGUUGCGUCUACUCCCAGUGUAGAGAUCUUCCAUGGAGAUGCAGGGCCGAGGUUCUCCAUUUGGUGAUGUCAGUGGUGUUAGCAUUUGGCGGUGUAGAUACUUAUUAGAUUUAUGUUUUCUAUGCGCAAGAUCGAACUGCAACGAGCUUUUGUAGAUGUUAUAACUUCUGUACCUUCUAUUGCUCUCAAAAGGAAACAUAGAAUGUUAGUUAUUGUAGCAUAUUUAGCUAUUUUCUUGAUUGUGUAUAAACAUUGUUGUUCUUUUCUGAAUUUGUGUCUUUAGUUAUAAUUGUGCUCUAUUAA